This 83-nucleotide ribosomal RNA is filed under the name Laceyella sediminis. RNAcentral's name for it is "partial 16S ribosomal RNA". It matches the Rfam family "Bacterial small subunit ribosomal RNA", at positions 1453 to 1533 of the family's 1533-position model. The record is from RNAcentral. Lineage: Bacteria; Bacillati; Bacillota; Bacilli; Caryophanales; Thermoactinomycetaceae.
CCGCCGAAGGUGGGGCAGAUGAUUGGGGUGAAGUCGUAACAAGGUAUCCCUACCGGAAGGUGGGGAUGGAUCACCUCCUUUCU